Molecule: long non-coding RNA, 1681 nt
Organism: Rosa chinensis
Lineage: Eukaryota; Viridiplantae; Streptophyta; Magnoliopsida; Rosales; Rosaceae
Exons: 5
Source: RefSeq, a predicted model, not a curated record
ACCCAUGAAACAAAACUGAUGAACUCUAUCCUCACAUCAGAAAAGUGAGAUCUUUAGUCGUUGCCUCGAGCUAGUAGAGAUCGUGUUGGAGAUGGAAGCCAACUCUGACAGUUCGUACUGGAGAGGGAAACAUGAAGACCGGUUCUGCAUAAAUAGCGGAUUGCAUGCCCGUGAUGCCGUAUUUACGAACUGGGUUCAAUUUUCCAUUACAGCACUUGAUCGAGUAGUCGGUGAGCAAGAACGAAAAGCUGUUGCAACUUUUCUACUGGUUUUGGACACUCCUCCAUAAUUAAAGUUCCAGAAAGGUGAGGCUGCUUUAAUUGCCACCAUUCACCACCGUUUGCAAUAUAUAUGUAACUAUGCAAUAUAUAUUUGAAAACUCCUGCCAUGCCUUUCAUUCUUUUCAUAUAUGCCACAAAUAUUCUGGUCUUUGUCCUUUGUAUAUGAAAGAAACCUACAGCACACCAUAUAUUCAAUUAUGUAUUUUGAUGGGCCAUGACUUGCAGCACACAUGAUUAAAGAUUAAAGCUAUUUAUUCUUUGGCAAAGCAAUUGUCAAUUGAACCAUGUUGCUGCACUUGUUGUCGUCAGUCCCUCAAAAGAAACAAUUAAUUAAACAUGCCAUUGUUUGACUUCAUAGUUUGCAACAAACAGCAAGCUUAAGUCUUUGACUGAGCUUUGACCCCAUGUUUCUGACCAUGUAGAAGCUGAUUAAUAAUUAAAGUUGCCACCAUGCCCUGCUUUGAUUAUCACCACCGUUCACCACCGCUUCAAACACAGAAAGCACUCGCAAGUUUUAGCUUGCCUUUUUGUUAAUUAAAUCACCAGUUCUGAGAACAAAAAAGAUGAAUUUAAUUAUCCUUGUCUUGGUUCCAGAACGUAAUUUUGCCUUUCAACUAACAAUUGACAUGAAAGCUUCUGGAUAUGUAGGCUUAAUUAAGCCACCGCCGCCAAGCCCUGCUGUCGGCUUUCCGGGUUACAGAGAAGGAUUACAAGAGCAACUUUUAAAGGGUUUUUAGCAUUGGGACUCGGCCGUUCAUGAACGACCCUAUGUUCCAACGCUGGAAAUUGCAGCAGCCAAGUGCUCUAAGACUCCGGCCGUUCAUGAACGACCCUAUAUGUCUUAGCGCAGGAGUAGAUCAUCAUGAAGGUUGGCCGUUCAUGAAUGACCAUGUAUUUCUUGAGAGAGCUUUAACAAAAGAAUAAAGGUUGUUCAUGAACAGCCUAUCUUUUGUUGACAACAAGCUUGCUGAACAGUAUUUCCUUACCAAAGAGCAAGACAUAAAUGUGUUGUAUACCUGAGCUUCACCUUCUGGGGUUUGAAUUGUUGGUGGAUCUGCUCCGCUUCACGCUCUGUUUUGGCAGGACUUUAGCUUGUUUUCUGAAUAUUUUUCUCCUCUCUCUCCGUGUGUCUCUCCGUGUGUAUUUCUCUUCGGUGUUGCAGCCUAUAUAGUGGUCAUGGGAUAGGCUCAACCGGAUGGUGAUAACCACUUUGUAUUUUGCAUUUGAAUUUGAAUAACAAGUCUAUCCUUAUCACUUGUUAUCCUCAUAUAUAUUUGAACUGGCCAAUCUGUUAAACAACAGAACCUAUCCUUGACGUCAUUCAAAACCAAAGGACUUUGUAAUAUAAUUGAAUAACCCCGUUGCUUGCUAUUUGAACUUGGUCAAAUAUAUGUGAUAAA